This 805-nucleotide ribosomal RNA is filed under the name Enterococcus faecium. RNAcentral's name for it is "bacterial LSU rRNA". It matches the Rfam family "Bacterial large subunit ribosomal RNA", at positions 262 to 1071 of the family's 2925-position model. Lineage: Bacteria; Bacillati; Bacillota; Bacilli; Lactobacillales; Enterococcaceae. The record is from RNAcentral.
GAUUAGCCCAAACCAAUAAAGUUUUCUUUAUUGGGGUUGCGGACAUAUCAUAACGAAGAGGUAUCGUAAUUGAAGAGGAUUGGAAAGACCCACCACAGAAGGUAAUAGUCCUGUAUGUUAAACGAGAAGACUUUAGAUAUGAUCCAGAGUACCACGGGACACGUGAAACCCUGUGGGAAGCAGGAGGGACCACCCUCCAAGGCUAAAUACUACCUAGUGACCGAUAGCGUAUAGUACCGUGAGGGAAAGGUGAAAAGAACCCCGGGAGGGGAGUGAAAUAGAACCUGAAACCCUGCACUUACAAGCUGUGGAAGCACAUUUCUUGUGUGACCGCGUACUUUUUGUAGAACGGGCCAACGAGUUACGUUAAGUAGCAAGGUUAAGCACUUAAGGUGCGGAGCCGUAGCGAAAGCGAGUUUUAACUGAGCGUUCAGUUACUUGACGUAGACCCGAAACCGGGCGACCUACCCAUGAGCAGGAUGAAGCGAAAGUAAAAUUUCGUGGAGGUCCGAACCCACGAGCGUUGAAAAGCUCGGGGAUGACUUGUGGGUAGCGGUGAAAUUCCAAUCGAGCCCGGAGAUAGCUGGUUCUCCCCGAAAUAGCUUUAGGGCUAGCCUCAAGGUGAGAGAUACGGAGGUAGAGCACUGAAUGUCCUAGGGGGUAUUGCACCUACCGAAGACUAUCAAACUCCGAAUGCCGUCAUCUUAUACUUGGGAGUCAGACUGUGGGUGAUAAGAUUCAUAGUCGAAAGGGCAACAGCCCAGAUCGUCAGCUAAGGUCCCUAAAUGUAAGUUAAGUGGUAAAG